GACGCUGCUUUCUUUUCCUCCUCCAUCCUUCGCCAGCUUUGAAAAGGAAAUUCAACCGAACCCACUUCUCAAGAAGCAGAAAAUUCAUCCGAACCCAAUCCUCCAUCCCACGCAUCCCCGCCCUUCACUGAUCUUCCUCAGGAAACCCAACGCUACCCUUCACUGAUCUUCCUCGGUAAUGCAAGAUCAAUUUGAGAUGAGCAUGAUGGGAGAGCUCACCCUCUUUCUCGGCCUCCAAGUUAAACAAUCCAAUGAUGGUAUAUUCGUGUCACAAAGCAAGUAUGCUAGGUAGUUGGUGAAAAAAUUCGGGAUGGAAAGCUAUCAAACAUGCCCCAAUUCCAAUGAGCACUACCAUCAAGUUGGAUGCAGAUGAUAGUGGUGAAAAAGUAGACCAAAAGCUAUAUCGAUGUAUGAUAGGUAGUAUCCUUUAUCCCACCGCUAGUAGGACGGAUAUCAUGUUUAGUGUUUGUACAUGUGCACGCUUUCAAGCUUCUCCUAAAAAGUCUCAUUUGGUUGCGGUUAAAAAAAUUAUCAAAUAUAUUAAUGGCACCUUAGAACUUGGUUUAUUUUACCCUAAACAUACAUCUUUUAAUUUUUAUGGUUAUUAUGAUGCUAACUUUGCUGGUUGUAGGGUGGACCGCAAGAGUACGAGUGGUACUUGUUAAUUUUUGGGUAACUCCCUUGUAUCUUGGGCAUCCAAGAAACAAAAUUGUGUCGCCUUGUCCACUACGGAAACGUAAUACAUUACCACCGGCCUAUGUUAUGCACAACGUUUAUGGAUGAAACAAAAUUUGGUUGAUUUUGAUUUGUAUUUUCAUGAUACAAAAUUUUUUGUGAUAAUACUAGUGCUAUCAAUAUUUCAAAAAAUUCAGUUUUGCAUUCUAGAACCAAACAUAUAGAUGUACGAUAUCACUUCUUGCGUGACCAUGUUGAACGGAAAGAUGUUUCUCUUGUUUAUAUUGACACAAAAUCUCAAUUAGCGGACAUCUUUACCAAACCCUUUUGUGAAGUUGAUUUUUGCCGUAUUAGAAAUGAAUUAGGCAUGUGCAUUCUUUAAAAAUUAUAUUUUUGCCUAUUUUUGCUUGCUAUCUUUCUUCGCUUUACCAUUGUUAUAUCUAUUCUUUUAUUGAUCCAUAAUGUUAUACAAUGCUUAAGCACACACAGGUACCAAGAGGAGUGUAAAGGUGAGAGAUCGGGAUCAAUUCCAAGAGGAGUAGGACCGGUAGUAAAGCCUAGUGAGAGAUGGUAAUUCUUAAUGCUUGAGGAAUAUGACAGGGGUAGGCCAACACUUGAGGUGCAUUGUGUGCGUUUUGGCAUGCAUUCUUGUCUUUUUUUCCCAUUUUUGAUGGUGACAAAGAGGGAGAGAAAUCUCCUCAUUUGUGCACAUAGUUAGGGGAAGCCUUAGAGAUAGAGGGAACAACUAUCUAUAAGCCAAAUAAUCAAUUUUAUUUGCUCUUGAAUAAUGGUUGUUUGUCAUCAUCAAAAAGGAGAAGAUUGUUAGCCUUUUUGUUUUAAUGAUGAUUUACAAACACCAUUGUUGGUGCUAAUUGUUUAUUGAGCUAUAUUGUGGAUUACAAUUCAUUAUCACCAUUGAUUGAAGAGUGGAUGGAAUAUGGGCUACAACGACGAUAUCUAAGGAGGUGGAGGCAAAGUGAUGAAGUAAAGCUUUCAAAAGAGCACUACAUACAUGAGAAGCUUCAUCAACAUAGAAGCAAAUAUCAAGACUCAAGCCAUGUACUUAUAUGUGAGGGAUAUUUGUUAUUUUAUUUUCUUCUUAGUACUUAAUGUAGGUAAGUAGUUUGUUGAUUACAUUUGAAGCUCUUGGAAUAACACACUUACACAGUUCAA
Molecule: RNA transcript, 1848 nt
Organism: Asparagus officinalis (garden asparagus)
Lineage: Eukaryota; Viridiplantae; Streptophyta; Magnoliopsida; Asparagales; Asparagaceae
Exons: 3
Source: RefSeq, a predicted model, not a curated record